RNAcentral lists this ribosomal RNA (468 nucleotides) under uncultured bacterium. RNAcentral describes it as "partial 16S ribosomal RNA". It matches the Rfam family "Bacterial small subunit ribosomal RNA", at positions 28 to 507 of the family's 1533-position model. The record is from RNAcentral.
GACGAACGCUGGCGGCGUGCUUAACACAUGCAAGUCGAACGGAAAGGCACUGCUUUCGUGGGGGGUCAGAGUGGCGAACGGGUGAGUAACACGUGAGUAAUCUGCCCUUGACUUUGGGAUAACCUCAGGAAACCGGGGCUAAUACCGGAUAGGAGGCCCCGCUGCAUGGAGGGGGUUGGAAAGUUUCGGCGGUUGGGGAUGGACUCGCGGCUUAUCAGCUUGUUGGUGGGGUAGUGGCUUACCAAGGCUUUGACGGGUAGCCGGCCUGAGAGGGUGACCGGCCACAUUGGGACUGAGAUACGGCCCAGACUCCUACGGGAGGCAGCAGUGGGGAAUAUUGCACAAUGGGCGGAAGCCUGAUGCAGCAACGCCGCGUGCGGGAUGACGGCCUUCGGGUUGUAAACCGCUUUCGCCUGUGACGAAGCGUGAGUGACGGUAAUGGGUAAAAAAGCACCGGCUAACUACGUG